Dromiciops gliroides (monito del monte) is the source of this 127-nucleotide small nuclear RNA. Lineage: Eukaryota; Metazoa; Chordata; Mammalia; Microbiotheria; Microbiotheriidae. The record is from RefSeq and is a predicted model, not a curated record.
GAGAUACCAUAAAAGAGAGAAGGUUAGCACACCCCUUGGUAAGGAUGGAAAAGGUCCUACUGACCUUUACAACAUGUAUACAGUUACAACAUCACCACCUACAUCUAACAUCUAACCAUGGUUUCGG